Molecule: long non-coding RNA, 1985 nt
Filed under: Marmota monax (woodchuck)
Lineage: Eukaryota; Metazoa; Chordata; Mammalia; Rodentia; Sciuridae
Source: RNAcentral
AUUAUCUCAGUCUUAUCAAGGCUACACAUGAAAAACAUCACAUCAUAAUGAAUGGUUGCUGAGAGCCAUAGCCGAGUCUGUAUGGCCCCUGGCAUUUUGCCAACAGUACUGAUUGACAGGCAAGGCAUUACUAUCCGCCUGGGCGGCUACUUUGGAGUUCUUGUGGGGAUUCCCGGGGAUUCCCCGAGAGUUCCCAUUGGUUGGGGAAGUGCAGGAGGAGGGAUUUCUGGGAAAGAUUUUUCCGGCUGGGGGUUCCUGGACGAGCAGCAUCGUGUUCGGGAGAAUUCCCCUGGAGCAUGGGUGAAGUGUUUUCUUGCAAACACUUUUCGAAAUAAAGUUUGUUCCUGCUUCAGUGGCUCGUGAUUUGUGCCCAGCCAGACUGCAGCAGAUGGUGGCCCGUUACAGGGAGCCCCGGGACACUCGGGGGUAAGUGAUGAAAAAAAGCUGCCCGUCCAUAGAUAGGACGGGAGCAAUCUGCUCGUCCCUAGGCAGAUAGGGCGAGAGGAAAAAUGGCCAUUUCGAGAAAAUGGAGAAGAUUGAUACAGUAUGUUUGUGUCUUGUUUUGUCUCAGUGUAUUGUAUUGUCUUUAUGAUGAAAAUAUGGAAGGGGUGAGAAGUAAAUUACUAAGGGAAAGAGGCACCCCAGUGGAACCAAGAAUAGUUAGGGCAUGUGUUGAUGGAAGCCCAGGAACUCUAGUCAGAAAGAAAAAGAAAGUUCAGAAGAAGAAAGAUUAUCAGGAAAAAAGUUGCAGCCAAAGGCUAUUACUGAAUACUUUUUGUUACCGGAGGGUGCAUGAAUAGGCGCUAAAGUGGCUGCCACGUGCGCAUGCCGGUCAUGAUGCAGCAAGGAGAUUCCAAGCAGCGGCAGCUGGCUAUUCCCCGCCCUCCGCCUGGGGAGCGGGGUGCCACUGCGAGAGCCCAAAUCCAGACCUGACCCAGAGGCACAGUCUCGAAGGCUCUUGCUCUGUGCCCAGUAGCAGUUUGAGUCUGGAACACUCCCCAGGGUCAUCUGGGGCUGCCCUGGACGCUAUAGCUGGCAGAAGAUGCUACCAGCAUCCCUGAAGUUUGGUCAUUUUCAAUGCAAAUAAAUAAGCUACAAUGGUUCUCCCAUACCUGGAGGCUAAUGAGUAAUGAACACCAUUAAGGUCUAUUUCAAAUGUAAAAAACCUUGAGAUAAUGUACUAAAUUGUUCAGAAGGUUGUUUUCUUAGUGGAAUGCUACAGGAUUUUCUUUAGCCAUCCAGAGUUCCUGCCUUCAUCCCAGUGCUGGUGAAGACAAAGGUGGAAGAAUUUCCAGUGUUGCUGACAACUGGACGAAACUUCGGCUGAAAAACGGACGAGACUUCGGAGCUGUUGCUGUUUCUGCUGCUACAGCUUAGGCUAGCUGCCUACAGAACUUACCUGGACUGUGAUUUAAGCUAGCUGCCUGCAGAACUUACCUGGACUGUGAUUUACGCUAGCUGCCUGCAGAACUUACCUGGACUGUGAUUUACCUGGACUGUGAGUUAAUCUAUUGAGACACUGCUUUACCUGGACUGAGACAACAAACUGUAAUCUACAGCAAAUUGUAACUCAGUAUCUUUGCUAACAGUGUCAUUGCUGGUAUAAUUUGUCCAAGGGCUUCUUGUAUGGAGCCAUCAAUUGGCUUGGUAUUGUGGCAUUUUGUAUCCUCCCCUUCUGCUUGUAGCAGAUUAUUUAUGGUGUUUGUGUAAAAACCACUAUGGUGGUUAUUUAAAUUAAACAAAAGGGGGAAAUGUUAGAGUCUGUAAAGAAGUCAGGAUGGCGCCUGGCAAAUGUUAGAGUCUGUAAACAAGUCUGGAUGGCGCCUGGUAUUUUGCCAGGGGGAGUGGUUUGUGAGGUGGUGCCAGCGAGCCAUUAAGUGUGGAGAUUUCUUAUUGGUUGACUGCUGUAUCUAGUUUAUGUUAAUUAAGAUAAGCUGUGUGGAAUGUAUAAAUACCCCUCCUGUCCUACAAUAAACGGCUCCCAC